GAUGAACGCUGGCGGCGUGCCUAAUACAUGCAAGUCGAGCGAACGGACGAGAAGCUUGCUUCUCUGAUGCUAGCGGCGGACGGGUGAGUAACACGUGGAUAACCUACCUAUAAGACUGGGAUAACUUCGGGAAACCGUAGCUAAUACCGGAUAAUAUUUUGAACCGCAUGGUUCAAAAGUGAAAGACGGUCUUGCUGUCACUUAUAGAUGGAUCCGCGCUGCAUUAGCUAGUUGGUAAGGUAACGGCUUACCAAGGCAACGAUGCAUAGCCGACCUGAGAGGGUGAUCGGCCACACUGGAACUGAGACACGGUCCAGACUCCUACGGGAGGCAGCAGUAGGGAAUCUUCCGCAAUGGACGAAAGCCUGACGGGGCAACGCCGCGUGAGUGAUGAAGGUCUUCGGAUCGUAAAACUCUGUUAUUAGGGAAGAACAUAUGUGUAAGUAACUGUGCACAUCUUGACGGUACCUAAUCAGAAAGCCACGGCUAACUACGUG
RNAcentral lists this ribosomal RNA (497 nucleotides) under uncultured bacterium. RNAcentral's name for it is "partial 16S ribosomal RNA". It matches the Rfam family "Bacterial small subunit ribosomal RNA", at positions 28 to 507 of the family's 1533-position model. The record is from RNAcentral.